UCACAGACCAAGUUCUCCUACAUCUGAACAUGGAGUUGUAACUCUGGUCAUCAGUUCUAGAGACAACGAAACAAGGAAUAGGGUUUCCCCUUAAGUUGCGGUGUACAAAGCUGAAAAUUCCACAAGAAAUUGCUUUGAUAAUUUUAAAGAUGAUCAUAAGGAUAAGUAUUUGAUUUAAGUACCUUUGCUUGACCCAGCAGUGAAGAUCAUUCUUAUUUAUUUCGAUCUUGAAUCGCACAUAAGUCGACUAAUUGAAAGCAAAUA
Long non-coding RNA from Haliotis rubra (blacklip abalone), 264 nucleotides. RefSeq lists it as uncharacterized. Lineage: Eukaryota; Metazoa; Mollusca; Gastropoda; Lepetellida; Haliotidae. The record is from RefSeq and is a predicted model, not a curated record. The transcript is spliced from 2 exons.